GAUGAAGAAGUAGCGAAAUGCGAUACUUGGUGUGAAUUGCAGAAUCCCGUGAACCAUCGAGUCUUUGAACGCAAGUUGCGCCCGAAGCCUCGGCUAAGGGCACGUCUGCCUGGGCGUCACGCAUCGCGUCUCCCCCAAACCGCCAAGGCGGAGGGGAAGGAAGAUGGCUUCCCGUGCCUCACCCGGCGCGGUUGGCCUAAAUUUGGAGCCCGCGGCACUUAGCUCUCGCGGCGAUAGGUGGUGAACAAGGCCUUGGCCGUGCAAACAACCCGCUGCGAAGCUCUAUGUCACGUGCGCUCGUCGGACCCUUUGAAGUUGCCUUCGGUGACUUAAAACCUUUGCGACCCCAGGUCAGGCGGGGCUACCCGCUGAAUUUAAGCAUAUCAAUAAGCGGAGGA
RNAcentral lists this unclassified non-coding RNA (398 nucleotides) under soil metagenome. Its description in RNAcentral is "partial contains 5.8S ribosomal RNA, internal transcribed spacer 2, and large subunit ribosomal RNA". The stretch from base 1 to 119 matches the Rfam family "5.8S ribosomal RNA", at positions 35 to 154 of the family's 154-position model. The record is from RNAcentral.